UGGGGCCGGGUGACCAGGAGCGCGGGAGGGCGGGGACACCUGUGCCUGAGAAGGUGCUGGAAGUGCCCGCAGGAGACAUUGGGACACCCCUCAUCCCAGCGGAACUCUGACUUGUCUUGUGAUCUGUGUCCGCAGUCUAGCAUGAACUUUUCGAGCUGUGAGUAUGGCAGAAUGUGCUAGACAAGGAAAAGGAAGUUUCAUUAAAUAUUUAUGUAGUGGUGGUCUUCAGGCAAGUGUGGAAAUGUAAGUGGGGGAGCUUCUCAUUUAGAAACAAAAUACAGGGGUACCUGACUGGCUUGACCUCCGGGUUGUAAAUUCCAAUCCCAUAUUCUGUGUAGAGAUUACUUAAAAAUAAAAUCUUUUUUGGGGCCCCUGGGUGGCUAAGUCAGUUGAGCAUCCCAUUCUUGAUUUUGGCUCAGGUUAUGAUCCCAGGGUCAUGAGAUACAGCCCCUCCUCCAGCUCUGUGCUCACAGCGCUGAGCCUUCCUGGGAUUCUCUCUCUCUCUCUCUCUCCCUCUCUCUCUCUCUCUCUCUCUCUCUCUCUCUCUCUCUCUCAAAUAAAUAAACUUAAAAGCAAAUAAACAAGGGGCGCCUGGGUGGUACAGUUUGUUGGGCGUCCAACUUUGGUUCAGGUCAUGAUCUCAUGGCUUGUGAGUUUGAGCCCCUCAUCAGGCUCUGUGCUGACAGCAUGGAGCCUGCUUGGGAUUCUGGGUCUUUCUCUCUCUCUCUCUGCCCAUCUCCCAACUCAUGCUCUGUCUCUCUUUCUCUCAAAAAUAAAUAAAACAUUAAAAAAAACAUUAAAAAUUAAUAAAAUCUUUUUAAAAAUAAAAGCAUAAUAGUCGAUUGAAAGAAAGGGCAUAUGAUCAAGUAUAACAAGUGUUUCCAAACCACUGAUGACAGUGACUAUGGACUGCGUUGUCUGCUCUUGUGUCCUGGGGCUUUGUCCCCUGCCUUGUGCUUAGAGCACACACUUCAGGGCAUCACCCCUCUACUUGCCUUCCAGAAGUUUCACAGUAAUCAACUUAUUGAUGGUGUUUGGAGGGUGUGUGUGUAUGCUGCUAACUUCUACAAGGCUAACUGGAAGCUGCUCACAUGUUAUCAGCACCAGUGUAGACGCAAAGAUAGGCAAUGCCAAGCCCUGUACAAGUAGAAAUGGUAAGAACCACAUGGUUCUAGACGAAAGCUCACCAAGUGCUGGGACAGUCGGAAAAGGCUCCAGAUCAGAGACAGGGCUUGCACUGGGCUUUCCGCCCAUCACAAAUGCUUGGUAAGUGUCCACUGUAUACAGGCACGAGCCAGAGUUUCGCAGACAGCAGUGAGCAAACCGGCAGCCGUGCCCCGUCGCCAUGUGUGAAAGGAGAACCAAAAGGAAGUCAGCACGCAAGACCCCUCGUGACUGAGGGAAAAGCAGCACCAGAAGAGCUCGCAAGGUAGAAGUGGACUGAGCAUCUACAGUCUGCCAGACACAGGUGGAGAAAGAGAGCAGAGGCUUACGGAGGAACCGCCAUCCCCACGUGAUCAUCACAGCACAGCCAAAGAGCAGCACGUUCCGUAAAGCAGAGGGGCCAAGAGAUGAGCCAGAAGGCCGGAGGAGGAGGAGACCUCUGACCUGCAGGAUCUGUACCAGGGACCACAGCAACCUCUGGGUGGAGAGCAAGGGCACAGCCCUGAGGAGGCAGAAGGGUGCGACGGGAGAGCUGACCAGAGACUGCAGAGGCCUUGCAGGACUGGGAGGUGCUGGAACUUGGUGCAACCCAGGCAGCAGCUGAGACGCCAGAAGGGCCACGCCCCAGGAGUCAGGGCAGCACAUGAGGAGUAAGGGACAAAGUUAAAUUACCUGAAGUGAAGAGCUCAUUGAAUUUUCUGGACAACAGACAGGGCACAGCUGAAGAGAGGGUUUUUCAACUCAAAGUUCCAUCAGGAGAAAGCACCUGAAAACUCAGAAAAAAAAAAAAUCAAAAUGAGAAAAAGAUAACAGAGAGCAAUGUUAGAGAUGUAUGAACAGGAUCGAAUGGUCUGAUGUACAACAGUCGAAAGCUGUACUUCCAGAAGGAAGGAGAAAGAAACUGGAGUAGAAAUAUUUGAAGGGAGAAUGUGUAAGAAUUUUACACAGUGGCGCGCCUGGUUAGCUCAGUCGGUUGAGUGUCCGACUCUUGAUCUCAUCUCAGGAUGUGACCUCAUGGUUUGUGAGAUCAAGCCCUGCGUGAGGCUCCACGCUGGGAGUGGAGCCUGCUGGGGGUUCUCUCUCUGUCCCUUCUCUUCGCUUGUGCUCUCUCUCAAAAUAAACAUAAAGAAUUUUACAAAUUGAUAAGAAUACACCAACCACAGAUCCAAAAAGUUUGGUAAACCCCAAAGAGAACAAAUUCAAAGAAAAACAUGUGGAGGCAUAUCACAGUCCAGCUUCUGAAAACCAAAGAUAAAAAUAAAUGUCCUAACAGGAGAGGCGCCUGGGUGGCUCAGUUAAACGUCUGACCUCGGCUCAGGUCAUGAUCUCACGGUUUGUGAGUUCAAGCCCCGUGUUGGGCUCUGUGCUGACAGCUCGGAGCCUAGAGCCUGCUUUGGAUUCUGUGUCCCUCUCUCUCUUUCUGCCCCUUUCCCACUUAUGCUCUGUCUCUGUCUCUCUCUCUCUCAAAAAUAGACGUUAAAAAAAAAGUUCUAAAAGGAGACAAAAUUGAAAAGACACAUCACAUUCAGGGAAACUAAAUGAGAAUGACUUAUCACAAGCAGUGGUGCCAGAAGACAGAGACGGCAUCUGCAAAAUGCUGAAUGUCAAACGGUCCUCCAGACCAGUAUUCAAUACCUAACAAAAAUACCCUUCAAAAAGUAAAGACGUAAUUAAUUUUAACACACGUAAAAAAAGGUAUUUUCAGAUCAACAAAAGCUGAAGAAUGUCACCAGAAGAGGCCUUCAGAAAAGUAAUGACGUUUUUCAGGCCACAGGAAGGUGACGGCAGUGGAAUCCCAGACCUGCACGAGGGCACGAAGACCUGGGCAGACGAUGGAGUGGGUGACUGUAAAAACAUUUAAAAUAACUUCUUUAAAAAAUUAUGGAACAAAUGCUUGAAGCAAAUUUUAAAGUCGCACGUUCCGGGCUUUAGAGCAAUGCUGUGCAAUAUAGUUUCUGAUGCGUUCAGUCAUGGUGCCUGCCCAGCACAGGAGCCGCCACCCCGGGGGGAGCUCGUGGGCACUUCCAGUGUGGCUAGUGGAACUGAGGAGCUGAACUUUAAGGCUGCAUUUGGUUAUAAUUAAUGUAAUUGUAUGUUUAAAUAGCCACAUGUGGCUAGUGGCUACCAGAUCAGACAAUGCAACCCACAGAAAUAAAAAAUACGAUCACAAGAGAAGAAAAAAAGAGGGAAGUCGGUGUUAUUUCACUGUUUCAAGGUUCUUACCUGGUUAAUCAAAUGGUGUAUGAUUCCAAAGUGAGCCGUAGUAAGUGAAGGGUACUUACUGUAAUUUAUAGCUCAACCACUAAUAGAAGUAUAAAUCUAUAUAUUAUAUAUGGUAUAUAAUACCUAUAGGUAAAAAACUAUGAGGAGAUAAGAUGGAAUUUUAAAAAUAUGUGAAUAGUCCAAUAGGCCAGGAAGAAGACAAAAAGCUCAGAUGGGACAAAUACAGAACAAGGUUGUGGCUUUAAACCCAACUGUGUCAGUUACUAUAUUAAAUGCAAAUGUGUGGAACAGUACAAUUAGAAGCCAGAAACUUUAGACUGAGUAGAAAGGAAAAGAGAAAAACCACCUGACCUACAAGUUUACAAAACACUCUUGCAACCUAAAGACGAAGACGAGCUGAAGGUACGGGGAUGGAUAAAGCAGUUUCACGCAAACCCCUGGCAUCAGACCAGCCGCCUCAGGUAAGGGCUGUCACAGGAGACUGGUCCACGGGGUCAACUGUGGGUUGACAGGGUCAACUCAGCAAUAAAAUGCAAGAAUACUAAGUGCAUAUCAUCACAGUCUCCAGGACUCCUGGCUGGCUCAGUGGAGCGUGUGACUCUUGAUCUCUGGGUUGUGGGUUCAGGCCCCACGUUGGGUGUAGAGAUUGCUUACAAAGAUGAAAUCCUUGGGGAGCCUGGGUGGCUCAGUCAGUUAAGUAUCCAACUUUGGCUCUGGUCAUUACCUCACAGUUCGUGAGUUCGAGCCCCGCAUCGGGCUCUGUGCUGAUAGCUCGGAGCCUGGAGCCUGCUUUGGAUCCUGUGUCUCCCUCGCUCUCUGCCCCUCCCCCCUCACGCUCUGUCUCUCUUUCUCAAAAAUAAACAUUAAAUUUUUUUUAAAGGAUGAAAUCUUUAAAAUAACAAACCUAACAUCCAAAGUUUCAAAGCAAAAAUUGACAGAUCUGAAAUGAGAUAGAAAAGAACCUACAAAUAUAGUUCAAGAUGUUAACAGUUGGCUAUGCAGUUACCAGAACGAGCAGGCAGAAAAGUCUAGAAGGCAAAGAAAGAACAACGAGGCCUGGACCUUCCAGUGUUUAUGUCAGGCAAGCCUGGCUGGAGAGAGUGUUGUCAGAACCCUGUGCUAGUUGACAAACCAUUUGUGCGGCGUUUUCUGCGUGCCAGGUACGGCUUUAAGGACUCUGUGGGUAUUGACUCAGGCUGUCCUGUGAUAGAGCUCUACCGGACAGACGCUCCAAUGGCCUGUAUCACACCCGGGCAGCGAGGGCACAGUGACCUGCCCACUCCAGGCCAGCCUAUACUGCCCUAUGCGGUAAGCAAAACUGAGGCUUCCUCUAUAUGCCACUCAGUAAAAAGGGUGCCAAUUCUUAAUGUUAUCACUGUGAAUUUUUAUAGUCUCUAAGAAACAUAAAUCAGAAGAAAAUCCACCACUGCCGCUGGUUUCAUUUAACAAGAUAAUACAAUGCGAUUGCAAGUCCUGUGGUCCUAAGAAUGUCACUCCGUGUAUCAGCAUUUUCCCCUAAACUGAAACACCUUCAGAGGCUCGGCAUUAUGCACCAGGCGAAAGCCAGACCCAGCAACCUGUGUUUCCUGCAAACAGACGUUCUCCCUGUCCAGCUCCGGCCCAGAUUUCCGUUUCCUCGCACUGCUCCCGGGUGGUGUGGGUGACCUGUGCCCACCCCAGCUGUUGGGCUCUGCCUACGGCUUGCCUGUGCCAUACUCCCCUCCAAACAGCCCCCUUCCCCGCCUAUUCCCGCAUCAGCCCUUGUUCAUACGGCUCUCCCGCCUGCAGCCAGGUACCCUCCUUCCCACCAAUCCAAUUCCCUCUUGACACAGUACAGUUGGCACUUGAACAACUCGAGGGGCAGGGUCGGGGCACCGACUCCCUUGACACCCCCAAAACUUUACUAAUAGCCUGCUGUUGACGAGAAGCCUUACCAAUAACAUAAAUGGUUGAUUAACAAUAUGUUCCUUGUUCUAUGUUUUAUAUACUGCAUUCUUCCCAAAGAAAAGGAAGCUAGAAUAAAAACAAAUGUUAGUCAAAUCCUAAGAAAAACA
This is a long non-coding RNA of Neofelis nebulosa (Clouded leopard), 5441 nucleotides long. RefSeq lists it as uncharacterized. Lineage: Eukaryota; Metazoa; Chordata; Mammalia; Carnivora; Felidae. The record is from RefSeq and is a predicted model, not a curated record. The transcript is spliced from 4 exons.